ACAGCCUUUCAAAACCCUCUCCUUAAGGCGUCCCUGAGGGCUAGUCCCUCUCAGCCAUGGAACCGAGAGAAAAAGAAAGGAAACCCUCCCCGUUCGACUCCGGUGAAGGCGAAGAUGGGCUCCGACACCGGUUUUCGUUGCGAACAGGCAUUUGAUGGGCGCCGACGGAUGGGACAGAGGCGGUGGUGGUAGAAGACCAAAGGUCUGAAGCAUGCAGCGCUUGGGAGACCAAAGGUCCGAAGAAAGGGGCAGCGUCUAGGGUUUCAGAAAAGUUGAAACCCUAGUUUGACUCAUUGUUGGGUUUGAGUUAUUUGGGCUUAGUCUUUUAGUUUGGGCCCCGGGUUGUAAUUGGUUUGGGCUGAAGGGUAUUGGGUUAGUUAGGCUGGUGGGUUAGUUUAAUUGGUUUGGGUUUUAUUUGGUUGUUGGGCCCGGGCAAAUUGGGCUUGUACAGCUGCCCCUCUUUGCUCGUUGUCGUGUAACGAGAACAGAGCAAAGACUAAGAAAGACCAAUUUUUCCCGGUCUCGUUGAGUCUUGACUUCUUGGUGCUUUUCUUCUUCAAGUAGCCCCAUUCUAAUCCACUGUGUCCUAUUGCUUCAAUCCACUACACUACGCUUCAGAGAGGUCUAACUUGAAGCUUCAAUCUUCUUUGCCACAACUUCAGAGGGACGAUGUUUGUGGUCUUAGUCUGCUCCACUGUAACUUCAGGGAGAUAAGACUGGAUGCGAUCUGCUCUACUAUUGCUUAGAGAGAUAAGAUCUACAAUCUUCAACUUACUCCACUGCUGCUCAGGGAGAUAGGAUUGAUUUCUUUUGUUUGCUCCGCUACUGCUUAAGGAGAUAAGACUUGAUGCGAUCUGCUCCACUACUGCUUAGGGAGAUAAGAUCUACAAUCUUCGACUUGCUCCACUACUGCUUAGGGAGAUAGGAUCUAAUAUCUUUGACCUGCUCCACUACUGCUUAGGGAGAUAGGACUGGUGGCUUAAAUCUGCUUCACUACUGCUUAGGAAGAUGAGAUUCGCCGUCUUCAAUCUGCUCCACUACUACUUAGGGAGAUAGGAUCUAAUAUCAUUGACCUGCUCCACUACUGCUUAGGGAGAUAGGACUGGUGGCUUAAAUCUGCUUCACUACUGCUUAGGAAGAUGAGAUUCACCGUCUUUGAUCUGCGCCACUACUGCUUAGGGAUAUAGGACUGGUGGCUUAAAUCUGCUUCACUACUGCUUAGGAAGAUGAGAUUCGCCGUCUUCGAUCUGCUCCACUACUGCUUAGGGAGAUAGGAUCUAAUAUCUUUGACCUGCUUCACUACUGCUUAGGGAGAUAGGACUGGUGGCUUAAAUCUGAUUCACUACUGCUUAGGAAGAUGAGAUUCGUCGUCUUUGAUCUGCUCCACUACUGCUUAGGGAUAUAGGAUCUAAUAUCUUUGACCUGCUCCACUACUGCUUAGGGAGAUAGGACUGGUUUCUUUUGUCUGCUCCGCUACUGCUUAGAGAGAUAAGACUUGAUGCGAUCUGCUCCACUACUGCUUAGGGAGAUAAGAUCUACAAUCUUCGACCUGCUCCACUACUGCUUAGGGAGAUAGGACUGGUGGCUUAAAUCUGCUUCACUACUGCUUAGGAAGAUAAGAUUCGCCAUCUUCGAUCUGCUCCACUGUAACCUCAGGGAGAUAAGAUCUGAAAUAUUCACUGAUCUGUUCUCUGGGGAACAUGACAUGUAUAAUGAACCUAAUUAUGCCUAAUGAUUAGGAUGGCAUGAUCAAAAUGAAUCAAAUGCUCCUAACUAGACAUGUGUGAAUGGUGUUUGCUUGAAUACAGAAUUUUAUUUAUUUAUU
Molecule: long non-coding RNA, 1825 nt
Organism: Gossypium raimondii (Peruvian cotton)
Lineage: Eukaryota; Viridiplantae; Streptophyta; Magnoliopsida; Malvales; Malvaceae
Exons: 2
Source: RefSeq, a predicted model, not a curated record